Molecule: long non-coding RNA, 3410 nt
Filed under: Homo sapiens (human)
Lineage: Eukaryota; Metazoa; Chordata; Mammalia; Primates; Hominidae
Description: non-protein coding lnc-SAMD11-7:6
Source: RNAcentral
AUGAGCGGACGCUGCCUACUGGUGGCCGGGCGGGAUGUAACCGGCUGCUGAGCUGGCAGUUCUGUGUCGCUAGGCUUCUGCCCGGCCGCCGCCGCACAUAAGCCACGAGGAGGAGCUUUACGACUUCCCGGUCUUCGGCGCCGGGCGCAGCAAGGGCCAGACUCUGCGCUAGCAGGCGCUGCGCGCCAACCGGCCGGCACCUGUCGCAGAAGGUGCAACCGAUCGCACUGUCGCGCAGAAGCUCCUCAAUGGCCAGCGCCAGCUGCAGCCCCGGCCGCCCACUCGCCUCAUCUGAGCCUGGAGACAGAUCUCAUUAUGUUGCCCAGGGUGAUCCUUGAUCUCCUGGCCUCAAGUGAUCCUCCAACCUUGGUCUCCCAAAGUGCUGGGAUUACAGAUGUGAACUACCACACCCAGUCAACGUGCAGAAGGUUUUCAGUUUGAUGUAGUCUGAUGUAGUCUCAUGUAUUUAUCCUUCUUGUUGUUGCCUGAGCUUUUGGUGUGAUAUCCAAAAAUAUCAUUGCCAAGAUCAAUAUCAAGAAACUUUCCCCCUAUGUUUCUUACAGAAAUUUUAUGGUUUCAGAUUUUUCAUCCAUUUUGAGUAUAUUUGUGUGUAUGAUGUAAGAUAAGGGUCCAGUCUCCCCAGUGUUGGAUAUCCAAUUUUCAUAACACCAUUUAUUGAAGAGAUUAUUCUUUCUCCACUGUGUUUUCUUGAUGUCCUUGUCAAAAAUUAGUUGACUUUUAUAUGCUUGGGUUUAUUUCUGGGCUCUAUUCUGUUUCAUUGCUUUACAUCUCUGUUUUCAUGCCAGUGCCACAGUGUUUUGAUUACUAUAGCUUUGUAAUAUAAUUUGAAAUCAGAAUGUGUAAUACCUAUAACUUUGUUUUUUGCUCUAAAGAUUUAUUUAUUUAUUUAUUUUUGCCAUUUCAGGUCUUUUGUGGUUUCAUAUGAAUUUCAGAAUUGUUUUUCCUAUUUCUGUGAAAAAUGCCAUUGACAUUUUGAUAGGGAUUGUGUUGAAUCUAUAUAUUGCUUUGGAUAGUAUGGAUGUUUUAACACUAUUAAUUGUCCCAAUCCAUGAACAUGAAAUAUCUUUCCAUUCACUUGUGUCUUCUUCAAUUUCUUUCAUCAAUGUUUUAUAGUUUUCAUUGUGCAGAUCUUUCACUUACCUGGUUAAAUUUAUUCCUACAAUUUCAUUCUUUUUGAUACUAGGGUAAAUUGAAUUAUUUUCUUGAUUUCUAUAAAUUAUUUCUUAUAAUACUCAUACUUGUCAGGCCUCUGGGCCCAAGCCUGCAUGUAUACAUCCAGAUGGCCUGAAAUAACUGAAGAAUCACAAAAGAAGUGAAAAUGGCCAGUUCCUGCCUUAACUGGUGACAUUACCUUGUGAAAUUCCUUCUCCUGGCUCAGAAGCUCCCCCGCUGAGCACCUUGUGACCCCCGUCCCUGCCCACCAGAGAACAACCCCCUUUGACUGUAAUUGUCCACUACCCACCCAAAUCCUAUAAAACAGCCCCACCCGUCUCCCUUCACUGACUCCUUUUUCAGACUCAGCCUGCCUGCACCCAGGUGAAAUAAACAGCCUUGUUGCUCACACAAAGCCUGUUGGUGGACUCUCUUCACACAGAUGCGCGAGACAAUACUAACACUAAUAUUAUUUUGAUUCGUCAGAUGGAAAAGUAAGGCUUGAAGAGGUUAGAAAUAACUUUUCCAAGGUCACAGAGCUAAUUGCCACAACUAUAACUCAGCUCUAGUAUGUGAACAAAGAUUUUUUUAUACCAAACCAAAAUUAUUUAUUUCUACUCCACUAUUCUAUCAUGGUGCAUUUUAGGUGCUAAUGGGAAAAUCUGCUCUAUGAUGGUGUCCAAUAGACAAUUAAAAUUCAAAUCUGGAAAUGAGAUCUGGACUGAAGAUUUUUUUAAAAAUUAGCCCUCAUCACAUGUAGUCAGCUGUAGAAAUCCUUAGCAUGGCUGAAAUUUUUCAUAUUAAGACAAGACUAGAACUUGGCCAGGUGUGGUGGCUCACACCUGUAAUCCCAGCACUUUGGGAGGCUGAGGUGGGUGAAUCACCUGAGGUCUGGAGUUUGAGACCAGCUGACCAACAUGGUGAAACACCAUCUCUACUAAAAAUACAAAAAAUUAGCCAGGCGUGGUUGCACAUGCCUGUAAUCCUAGCUACUUGGGAAGCUGAGGUAGGAGAAUUGCUUGAACCCAGGAGGUGGAGGUUGCAGCAAGCUGAGAUCGUGCCAUUGCACUGCAGUCUGGGCAAAAAAAGCAAAACUCUGAAGAAAGAGAGAGAGAGGGAGAGAGGGAGAGAGAAAGGAAGAGACGAUGAGAGACAGAGAGAAGGAGAGAGAAAGUACAAAAGAACGAAUGAACGAACAAACUAGAAAUCGAGCAGGAACCUUGGAGGACCUAUUGCUUAAGGUGUGGGCCAAAGAAAGUAAGUUAGGGCAAGAGACUAAGGUAUGCCAGAGACCCAGGACAAAACACAGUGCAGAGUGAUGUCACAGAGCCAAAUGGGAGUGCAAGCUAUGGCAAGCCCUCCCAAGUAUGUGUGGGUUAAAUGUAAUUAAAUUCAAAAUCUCUCAACCCAAAAAUUUUCUCCACAAAGGAAGUAGAGAAACAAAACAGUUCAUUAUUGAAUAAGCAUUAAACCAGAAUGUGAUGUGUGAAUAUAAUGGAAUGGAAUGGAAUGGAAUGGAAUGGAAUGGAAUGGAAUGGAAUGGAGUGGAGUGGAAUGGACCCGAAUGGAAUGGAACGGAACGGAAUGGAAUGGAACGCACUCGAAUGGAAUGGAACGGACAUGAAUGGAAUGGAAUGGAACGGACACGAAUGGAACGGAACGGAACGGAAUGGACUUGAGUGGGAUGGAAUGGAAUUGAAUGGACUCUAAUGGAAUGGACAUGAAUGGAAUGGAAUGGACUCAAUUGGAAUGCAGUUGAAUUGAAAGGAUCCAAAAGGAAUGCAAUGGAAUGCAUUGGAAUGGAAUGCAAUGGACUUGAAUGGGAUGGAAUGGAAUGGAAUGGACUCUAAUGGAACGGAAUGGAAUGGAACCGAAUGGAAUGGAAUGGACUUGAAUGGAAUAGAAUGGAAUGGAAUGGACUCGAAAGAAAUGAAAUGGAAUGGAUUCAAAUGGAAUGGAAUGGACACAAAUGGAACCAAAUGGAAUGGAAUGGACUCGAAUGGAAUACAAUGGAAUUUAAUGGAAUGGACUCUAAUGGAAUGGAAUGGACUAGAAUGGAAUAGAACGGAAUAGGCUCGAAUGGUAUGGAAUGCAAUGGAAUGGACUCGAAUGGAAUAGAACAGAAUAGACUAGAAUGGUAUGGAAUGCAAUGUAAUGGACUCGAAUGGAACGGAAUGGAAUGGACAAGAAUUGAAUUGAAUGGACUGGAAUGGAAUGGAAUGGACUCCAAUGGAAUG